RNAcentral lists this long non-coding RNA (1681 nucleotides) under Canis lupus familiaris (dog). RNAcentral describes it as "lncRNA (ENSCAFG00000059158.1)". Lineage: Eukaryota; Metazoa; Chordata; Mammalia; Carnivora; Canidae. The record is from RNAcentral.
GAACCAUUGUCUAAUCCAAGGUCAUGGAGAUUCAUUCCUAUAUUUUUGCUAAAAGUUUUAUAGUUUGACUUCUGGCCACCCAUAUAAACUAAUAUGUCCACCCAGCACUCUAUGUAACCUCUACCACAGUUUACUUCUCUUCAUAGCACCUAUCAUUUCCUGACAUAUGUGUUUUUUUGCAUGUUUAUGAACUCUGUGAGAAUAGAGAAGGCAUUUCUUUUGUUCACUGCUGUAUCCUUAGUGUCGAAAACAGUGCCUGACACAUGAUAGGUACUUAAUAAUGAUUUGUAAAAUGAGUGAGUCAAUGAAUAAAUAUCCUUGUGCACAGAACUUCAUGUCUAAAAUUUUCAAUUAUUAAAAAAUAAAAUAAAAUUUUCAAUUAUUCAAGAUUCCCUAGAAAAAAUGAAUGAUGAGUGAAUUGCUGUGAUGCCAAUGAAAGUUAAAUGAUAAUGCAAUGAAGACCAAAAUCUUGAUUUUAUUGUUGGCCAUCACCCUUAACCACUGUAAUGGCUUUGUGUCAUGGCUGGAUCUCUUUUAGAUAUGAAUAAGGAUGCAGCUGAUAGGAACUGGGACACAAAUUUAUAUUGCUCUGUUAUGUUACUCUCUUGGAUUCUUCUUUCUGUAUCACCAGAUGCGUAAAGAUAAUUUCAAAGGAAUUGAAGAGAAAAAAAAUGUUAACAGUUAAACAUAAUAGGAGUUUAAUAUUUAUAUUUUUUUCCUAAAUGGUCUUCCUAAAAUGUCUGAAAGACACUUUAAAUCAUUAAUAUACUGAGAAUAGCAACCUCCAAUACUUUCCAAAGUAUUUUAUAAAGACUUCCUUCACUGUUUUGAACAUGAGUUAUUUUAAACUUCUAAGAACUUAGCACAGAAAAACAAACAAAAUUCUCAAUGCAACCAUCAUUUCACUGCUUGGUCAUAUGACAUGAAAAUGUCAUGGGUCUUACAGGCAAAGCUGGACAAGGGAGUGGGCAAUAUGAGAAUAUGCAAAACUCAUCAGACUAUCUCUAGAAUAUUUCUGAUCUCAAGUGCAGUUAACAAAUUCUCAGUCCACAGUUACACCUAAAUGACCCUUGUACUCACAUAUAUCUGAGUUUAUGAAUAGCAUGAAAGGAAUUUAAAAUAAAAUCUUAUAAGACAUGGCAAUCAUUAAAUUAAGAUGAAGCAAGUGUUAUGAAGUAUGAAAACAUGGGACUUGAAUUCUAUUUAUUCAAAGGUCUUCACUGAGUUGAGCAUGUUCUUUUAACAAAUUCAAUUACUGAUUUGAAUAUGUAUUAUAUUUUAAUUAUUGCAGCCAUGUAAAGAAGCUCUGGUUAAGGAGGAAUUUAAUAAAAAUAUCUAAUCAGCUUGAGUUAGUCAAUCAUUUAAGUUUUUUUCACAAAGAUCUAAUUUCUAGAACAGUUGUGCCUAUAUUUUUUGUAGGUACAUCCCUAUAGUCUGGUGUAUCCUGUACACAAAUUAUUUUAGAAUUAUACUAGCUUAUCUUAACUGCUUUUCUAGAGAUAUUUAUUUAUUUAUUUAUUUAUUUAUUUAUUUAUUUAUUUUUUAAAGAUCCCAUUCAUUUAUUCAUGACAGACACAGAGAGAAGCAGAGACACAGGCAGAGAGAGAAGCAGGCUCCUCACCAGCAGUCUGAUGUGGGACUCGAUCCCAGGUUCACCACCUGAGCCAAAGGCAGAUGCUCA